This 283-nucleotide long non-coding RNA is filed under the name Homo sapiens (human). RNAcentral describes it as "HSALNT0135330". The record is from RNAcentral. Lineage: Eukaryota; Metazoa; Chordata; Mammalia; Primates; Hominidae.
UGAGCAUACUGGAGUCACGUGGCAGCACGCUCAUCUAAUUAAUGAAGUGACAGUUUUAUGCUGUGAAGUAGCAAAAGGACUUGACAAGACUCAUGGCUUUUCUCAUUGACUCUAAAAGCUGGAAUGAUGUUUCUUAACAUUCGCACAAGCCAUGAAUAUCAUAUGUAUUGGGGAAUCAGAAGUAUCAGCCGGUUUGGAGUAUUGGGAGGACACUGGAAGAGCGGAAUUUAAGUCAGAACACGUGAAAACCAUGAAGAGCUCUCAAACAAGGAGCACUGGGAAG